AGUUAGAGCCCGUUAAUGGGUGAUAGCGUGCCUUUUGUAGAAUGAACCGGCGAGUUACGAUUACGUGCGAGGUUAAGUUGAGAAGACGGAGCCGCAGCGAAAGCGAGUCUGAAUAGGGCGAAUUAGUACGUGGUCGUAGACCCGAAACCAGGUGAUCUACCCAUGUCCAGGGUGAAGUUCAGGUAACACUGAAUGGAGGCCCGAACCCACGCACGUUGAAAAGUGCGGGGAUGAGGUGUGGGUAGCGGAGAAAUUCCAAUCGAAGCUGGAAAUAGCUGGUUCUCUCCGAAAUAGCUUUAGGGCUAGCCUCGUGAUUAAGAAUACUGGAGGUAGAGCACUGUUUGGACUAGGGGUCCAUCCCGG
Molecule: ribosomal RNA, 363 nt
Filed under: Pseudomonas aeruginosa
Lineage: Bacteria; Pseudomonadati; Pseudomonadota; Gammaproteobacteria; Pseudomonadales; Pseudomonadaceae
Description: partial 23S ribosomal RNA
Rfam family: Bacterial large subunit ribosomal RNA
Source: RNAcentral